GACAGUUCGGUCCCUAUCUGUCGCGGGCGUUGGAAAUUUGAAGGGAGCUGUCCUUAGUACGAGAGGACCGGGAUGGACGCUCCAAUGGUGCACCAGUUGGUCUGCCAAGGCCAUAGCUGGGUAGCUAAGAGCGGAAGGGAUAAACGCUGAAAGCAUCUAAGCGUGAAGCCCCCCCUAAGAUGAGAUUUCCCAUUCGCAAGAAGUAAGACCCCUCAAAGAUGAUGAGGUUGAUAGGCCAGAGGUGUACGCACGGUGACGUGUUCAGCUGACUGGUACUAAUCGGUCGAGGACUUAACUUU
This 299-nucleotide ribosomal RNA is filed under the name Candidatus Izemoplasmatales bacterium. Its description in RNAcentral is "partial 23S ribosomal RNA". It matches the Rfam family "Bacterial large subunit ribosomal RNA", at positions 2625 to 2925 of the family's 2925-position model. The record is from RNAcentral. Lineage: Bacteria; Bacillati; Mycoplasmatota; Mollicutes; Candidatus Izemoplasmatales.